Molecule: non-coding RNA, 45 nt
Filed under: Schistosoma mansoni
Lineage: Eukaryota; Metazoa; Platyhelminthes; Trematoda; Strigeidida; Schistosomatidae
Source: RNAcentral
AUCUAGCUGACGGGUCUCAAAUAGGACGAAAUGCGAGUCUGUGAU